AUGGAGGCGCUCCCGCGCCUCGACCCGAGUUCGCAGCCCUCGAAACCCGUCGAAUCCGAGCUCCAAUUCUUUGCGGUGCCGCCGCCGCCACAGCUCCGGUCGAGCCCAGUCGACGCUAGAGACCACCACUGCCGUCUCCGAGGAGGGAAACGGAACCGCCAAGUCAAGCCGAGCCUCUCGAAUUCAAGACUGAGUAUUCGUCGGCGCUGCCACGGCUUCGACAGAGCCCAGCCGACGCCAGAGAACACCACCGACGUCUCCCAGGAGAGAAACGGAACCACCGACUCAAGGAAAAUCUCUUGGACGCCUUCCCGAGGAGCAAGGAUCACCGGAGCCAGCUCAGCGACAAGCCCCAAAGCCGCCGGCGCCGCCUGA
RNAcentral lists this ribosomal RNA (375 nucleotides) under Triticum aestivum (bread wheat). RNAcentral's name for it is "partial small subunit ribosomal RNA". The record is from RNAcentral. Lineage: Eukaryota; Viridiplantae; Streptophyta; Magnoliopsida; Poales; Poaceae.